RNAcentral lists this ribosomal RNA (659 nucleotides) under uncultured fungus. RNAcentral's name for it is "eukaryotic LSU rRNA". It matches the Rfam family "Eukaryotic large subunit ribosomal RNA", at positions 24 to 664 of the family's 3401-position model. The record is from RNAcentral. Lineage: Eukaryota; Fungi.
CCCGCUGAACUUAAGCAUAUCAAUAAGCGGAGGAAAAGAAACUAACAAGGAUCCCCCUAGUAACUGCGAGUGAACCGGGAAAAGCUCAAAUUUUGAAUCUGGCGGUCUUCAGGCCGUCCGAGUUGUAAUCUAGAGAAGCGUCUUCCGCGCUGGACCGUGUAUAAGUUUCCUGGAAUGGAACGUCGUAGAGGGUGAGAAUCCCGUCUUUGACACGGACUGCCAGGGCUAUGUGAUGCGCUCUCGACGAGUCGAGUUGUUUGGGAAUGCAGCUCAAAUAGGGUGGUAAAUUCCAUCUAAAGCUAAAUACAGGCGAGAGACCGAUAGCGAACAAGUACCGUGAGGGAAAGAUGAAAAGAACUUUGGAAAGAGAGUUAAACAGUACGUGAAAUUGCUGAAAGGGAAACGCUUGAAGUCAGUCGCGUUGGCCGGGGAUCAACCUUGCUUUUGCUGGGCGUACUUUCCGGUCGACGGGUCAGCAUCAAUUUUGACCGUUGGAUAAAGUCUAGGGGAAUGUAGCAUCUUCGGAUGUGUUAUAGCCCUUGGUCACAUACGACGAUUGGGAUUGAGGAACUCAGCACGCCGCAAGGCCGGGUACUUGUACCACGUUCGUGCUUAGGAUGCUGGCAUAAUGGCUUUAAUCGACCCGUCUUGAAACACGG